RNAcentral lists this ribosomal RNA (430 nucleotides) under Pseudomonadota bacterium. RNAcentral describes it as "Proteobacteria bacterium partial 16S ribosomal RNA". It matches the Rfam family "Bacterial small subunit ribosomal RNA", at positions 355 to 776 of the family's 1533-position model. Lineage: Bacteria; Pseudomonadati; Pseudomonadota. The record is from RNAcentral.
UGGGGAAUAUUGGACAAUGGGGGGAACCCUGAUCCAGUCAUGCCGCGUGUGUGAAGAAGGCCUUAUGGUUGUAAAGCACUUUAAGCGAGGAGGAGGGUACUGGUAUUAAUACUACCAGGUACUGGACGUUACUCGCAGAAUAAGCACCGGCUAACUCUGUGCCAGCAGCCGCGGUAAUACAGAGGGUGCGAGCGUUAAUCGGAUUUACUGGGCGUAAAGCGUGCGUAGGCGGCUAAUUGAGUCGGAUGUGAAAUCCCCGAGCUUAACUUGGGAAUUGCAUUCGAUACUGGUUAGCUAGAGUGUGGGAGAGGAUGGUAGAAUUCCAGGUGUAGCGGUGAAAUGCGUAGAGAUCUGGAGGAAUACCGAUGGCGAAGGCAGCCAUCUGGCCUAACACUGACGCUGAGGUACGAAAGCAUGGGGAGCAAACAGG